RNAcentral lists this long non-coding RNA (1917 nucleotides) under Cyanistes caeruleus (blue tit). RNAcentral describes it as "lncRNA (ENSCCEG00000001679.1)". Lineage: Eukaryota; Metazoa; Chordata; Aves; Passeriformes; Paridae. The record is from RNAcentral.
GUGUCCCCUGGCCUGCCUCAAGUGGCUGCAGGCAGGAGCAGGUUUCCCUGUGCAGGUAUUUAGAAGUUUGCAGCAAGUCUGUCCCAUGAAAUAUGGAGCUCCAGAUGCAUUAUGUUUGCACUGCAACCUGUGUUAUAUUUUGUGUCUCCACUUUACAGGACUUACUGGCUACCCUCUUGCCAAGAGGAUUUCUCUGGCAAAUCCUUCAAUGCUCCUGCCCUCCAAGCCAAUGCCCCUCAUCCCAAGGAGCUCUUCCAAGCCAAUGAAGAGCUGCAGUGGAGAGCACAUUACUGGGAAAAGUGGCACUGGCAAUGACAAUGACAGUGGAAAAGAACAGGAGUCAUGUUCAGAGGGAAAAGGACGUAAGGCUUCCUUGCUGUAUCCCACUGAAGGGGAUAAGAAGAAGGAAUCACUGGGACUGCCUUUGAUCCCCCCGAUACGCAGGGCAGUAAGUCCCGAUGUUGGCAGUGCUGCAGGGUCUCUGCAAAGCUCUCUGCAGCUGGAUGUGCAAGAGUCCCAGGAGAUGAGGCCCAGAUCCACCAGGAGAAGCGAAGAUGACAACUCUGAAGAAGGAGGUAGGUACAGGACAUGUCUGUCCUCAAAUGACCAUUGGAAUUUUGACUCAGAGGUGUCAUUUUGAAAGCUUGGUUGAAAAUAAUUAAUUUUAAAAUUUAUUUGACUUCAUUUCAAUACCUUGAUGGGCCCAGUGGGCUCCUGGAGAGUCCAGUCACAGGGAGUGUGCUCUGGUGGUGCAGUGAAUAGGCCGCCAGUGUGAAGUGUUGAAUGGCAGGAGCUGGAGUGGUACCUUUGGGCCCUGGAAAUGCAGUGCAGGAAAAAGAAACAAUCUACUCCACCUAGCACUUGCCCUUUAUCUCCCUGCAGCAUUUCCAGAGUCACAGUUAGUAGAAAAUGAGCAGGCAUUGAGCAUGAAAUGGGAAAUGUUCCCAGUCCUACGUCCUGCCCUUGAAGGAGAAAACCUUUCCUUGGGGCACUUUCUGGGCUGAACCCUUUGAGAUCUGAAGGAGAUUCAUGGACAUUGCCUGGUUCUGCACUGCGAGAAAUAGAGAAACCUCCUCUGAGGGAAAGUCCUUGUGAAAUUUCCGAUUAAGGAGAAGGAGGUUUCCAAAUGGAUGCAGCCUAUGCAGGGUCUGAGUUUGUCAUCCUCUGAGAGCACAAGCCCAAAGCCACCUAUGGCAGGUUCACCAUGACAAAUAUCUUCCCCGACUCUCUCUGCCUGGGUCAGUGCUGCAGGCUGAGGCUGCAGGAGGAGAUGCCUUCUGCCUUGUCCCUCCCUGCCUGCCUUGCCUGAUCCCUGACAAGUAGAAUUGUGCCAGACAAAAUGCAGUCUCUGAUGCAUCUGUGUCAGCCAAUGCUUUCAAGUUGAAAGCCUCAAUGAAAGUCUGUUGUUGUUCCUUUGCCAUCUCUGGGCAUUUACUGAUAGGAGAGAUGAGACUUGAAGACAUAAUUUUGCUGCUGCAGGAAAAGGGAUCAGAUGUCCUGGUCCCUUUGCUCAGGGUUUGUUCUGCCAAAUCCUGGGUACAGCCCCUUUGGAAAGACUCCUUAAUUGCUGAUAUGCAGCUGCAAUGCUGAAUGCAGUUGGGGAGAAUUACUGCUCAGUAUUGCUCAGGUGACAUUUUUGCUGGAUUGAUUCUGGCCUAGAAAUUACCUAUCUCAUCAAAGGUUGCCAGAUGCUCUUUUGUAAAUGACGUCACCAUUGUACUGGGAUAAAGAAACACAGAUUUUACCCGAGUCUUCUAUUUAUGCUCUACACUCUGCUGUUUGCAUUUAGGAAAUUCUUAGUGGUUUUUAACUGCCAUGAUCAGAAAUGUUUUAUUGCAGGUGAUCUUUGUGUUGGUAUUUGGUGUCUCUGCAGGAAAGAAAGCAGGGAAUAAACCCCAGGGGCAGGGAAUCUGAGCA